UACGGAGGGGGCUAGCGUUGUUCGGAAUUACUGGGCGUAAAGCGCACGCAGGCGGAUUUAUAAGUCAGGGGUGAAAUCCCGGGGCUCAACCUCGGAAUUGCCCUUGAUACUGUCUAUCUUGAGUCCGGGAGAGGUGAGUGGAAUUCCUAGUGUAGAGGUGGAAUUCGUAGAUAUUAGGAAGAACACCAGUGGCGAAGGCGGCUCACUGGCCCGGUACUGACGCUCAUGUGCGAAAGCGUGGGGAGCAAACAGG
RNAcentral lists this ribosomal RNA (253 nucleotides) under uncultured bacterium. RNAcentral's name for it is "partial 16S ribosomal RNA". It matches the Rfam family "Bacterial small subunit ribosomal RNA", at positions 524 to 776 of the family's 1533-position model. The record is from RNAcentral.